Molecule: ribosomal RNA, 490 nt
Filed under: uncultured bacterium
Lineage: Bacteria
Description: partial 16S ribosomal RNA
Rfam family: Bacterial small subunit ribosomal RNA
Source: RNAcentral
AUUGAACGCUGGCGGCAGGCCUAACACAUGCAAGUCGAAUGGUAACAGGAAACAGCUUGCUGUUUCGCUGACGAGUGGCGGACGGGUGAGGAAUGUCUGGGAAACUGCCUGAUGGAGGGGGAUAACUACUGGAAACGGUAGCUAAUACCGCAUAACGUCGCAAGAACAAAGAGGGGGACCUUCGGGCCUCUUGCCAUCAGAUGUGCCCAGAUGGGAUUAGCUAGUAGGUGGGGUAACGGCUCACCUAGGCGACGAUCCCUAGCUGGUCUGAGAGGAUGACCAGCCACACUGGAACUGAGACACGGUCCAGACUCCUACGGGAGGCAGCAGUAGGGAAUAUUGCACAAUGGGCGCAAGCCUGAUGCAGCCAUGCCGCGUGUAUGAAGAAGGCCUUCGGGUUGUAAAGUACUUUCAGCGGGGAGGAACGGAGUAAAGUUAAUACCUUUGCUCAUUGACGUUACCCGCAGAAGAAGCCCCGGCUAACUCCGUG